GUAACCAACCUGAUUUGUGAAAAUUUGUAAAUUAUUGUUCUUUUAAUCACUGAUUUUCGCUCAUCUUUAUAAUUUGUUUCCUUUAAUUGUACGCUAUCAAUGUUAAUAAAAGUUCCAGAGCUACUGCAGAUGAAUUCCUGUUUCGAGAUAAAUGUUUAUCAUGAUCUAUGAUCUACAAUAGGAUCAGGAAAGUCUCUACACUCUAAUAAUCCAAGUUGUUGUUUUUGUUUUUUAAUUUCAAUUUACAUCAUUAUUAAUAUUCUGUUUUAUCAUAAUCUUUUAAAUUGCUGUAGCCCAAUCUACAGCCUGUAAUUCAGGCCUACUCAAUUGAAAGACCCUUGAAGUGCUCAAGGAUGGACAUGUUUAGGGAGAUAGGCUUUCGAGCAAUAAACAUCUGUUUGGUUAUUUUUAAUCGUAUUCUUAAUGGAUAUCUAUUAUUUUGUUCAUCCAAUUCUGCGCUUCUGGAAUCUUUAAAUUAAUUUUAUUGUUAAUACUUCCUACGGUGCUUCUUACAAGUGGUUAUUGUUCAAAUCAAUUUGAAGUUCAAGCGUUUGAAUGUCAUUCACGAUAAAAAGGGUUUCUCAGCAGCAGAUUUAAUCACCAUUAAAUUGAAUCAAAUAAGUAAUUUAAUGAACCUGAAAGCAACCAUGAGGUGUUUUCCAAGGAUAUUUAACCCGUAAAGACCAUAAACAGAUAUAAUUCUGGUUUACUCUUAUAUCAUUACCAUCAUCAUCAGCUAUUAGCUGAAAACAAAAACAACAACCAAAUUGAAUUUGAUUGUAAUGUAACGUUUUCGCCGAUCUAUCCAAGUCUACUUAAUCGACUAACAUUUUGACCAAACCUGAAAACUUGCCAUCAUUAUAAUGGUCCUAAAUUGUCAUUACAAUAAUAUGGAUAAAAGAUGGUCAGUUAUUGAAUAUUGAAGCAUCCAAAAUUGUCACUCAUCCUAAAUAGCAACAAUUGUCUUCCUGGUGAAGAAGGUGAAAUUGGCGAUUUAAAUCAGCAGUUAGUUUAGCGUCUUUAAAUUAAAUUAUUUCAACGUUGAAGCAACAACAAAGCAAGCCUUGAUCAACAUACAACACAACCUGAUGUCAAGUCAAAUCAUCUCAACAUAAUCAAAGCUAAUUGAGUCGAAUGCUUAAUAGCAAUUUAAUUGUUAACCAAAUGGUUGGACAACAGAUAAACGGCAGCAAAAAGCGUCACCAAUGAUGCCGUUGAUUGUGCAGCUGAAAACUAACAGUUGAUUAAAUCUGGAAAUAUAAUGAACAUGAAUUGAUCUAAAAAUAUUGAUUAAACAAGGAAACUUCAAAUUUGAUUAAGAUCAAAUCCAGUCUGUCUAAUAAUCGUUUCAUGGACCAACUCAUCGUCAACCUUUUUGAGGGUUACUCUGACCAAGCACAAGAUCAAAACUAAUUAACAAUAAAUCAAAAAAAAGAGAAGGAAAACAAUUUUGUUAAAAUCAAAGUCAAUUGAAACAAUCAACUUGUUAUUUAUAUUGUUUAUCGUAUACAAUUCAAGUUGAAUGUUUAAAAUCAAAUGUAAAUGGUAAUCGUGAGGAAACUGAAACUAAAUUAAUUUAGUAUCAACAUCAAAACUGAACUGAUCUGCAAAUCAUUACAAUAUUAUUAAUAUAAUAAUAAUAUUAAUGAAGCAAAAAAACAUGAUUAGAUGAUAAUUGACCUUCCAUUUAGACCAAUUUUUGCUCCUGGAGAAGUGACCAUUAUAUUAAAGACCCUGGCUUUUUCAAUCUUAUUUAUUUAUACUUUUUCCUUCUAAUUCAGUCAAUUGUUACAAUUUAUUUCUUAAUUAUUUUCACCAUUUUUAAUUUGGCGAUUGUUGAUUAACCUUUACACAAAUCAGAUCAAGUCGAGUGAACAAAAACAUUUGAAAAAGUGUACUAAUAAUGAAAACAAUACAAUGAUGUGAAUAAGGUUUGCUUCAUUUUUAAUUAAUCAUUCACACCUUUUACAUUAUAACCAUUUAUGUGUGUAAUGAUUGGAAUUAAUAUUUUUUCAAUUUAAAAAUGUAUUGAUAGCUAAAUUAUUUACAAUCAAGAAAUAAAUAGAGAAAAGAAAGAGUAAAUUAACCCAAAGACCAGAAACAAAAUUGAACCCAAAAAGUGUAAACAGGCAAACCCAUUCACCAAAAUUGAACUGACACAAGGCAGUCUAAUGUUUGAAUAUUUACCAGUUAAUUAACAGAGUGAUUUGAUUGUGAACUGGUUUAAUGAGAAACUGUUUCAAGUGUAACAAUGAAAAGUGUUGCUUUCAAUUAAACCAUUUCCUAAUUUUUAUAAACGCUAUUUCAAGGUUUGAAAAUGAUCUGAAAUACUCAUUGUUAGGCUUAAAAGAUAGUAAAUUGUUUAAAUUGUUGACCAUUAAAUUGAUUAAUUUCAACGCC
Molecule: long non-coding RNA, 2400 nt
Organism: Tetranychus urticae (two-spotted spider mite)
Lineage: Eukaryota; Metazoa; Arthropoda; Arachnida; Trombidiformes; Tetranychidae
Source: RefSeq, a predicted model, not a curated record